AGUGAACGCUGGCGGCAGGCCUAACACAUGCAAGUCGAACGGCAGCACAAGAGAGCUUGCUCUCUGGGUGGCGAGUGGCGGACGGGUGAGGAAUGCAUCGGAAUCUGCCCAUUUGUGGGGGAUAACCUCGGGAAACCGGGACUAAUACCGCAUACGACCUACGGGUGAAAGCAGGGGAUCUUCGGACCUUGCGCAGAUGGAUGAGCCGAUGCCGGAUUAGCUAGUUGGAGGGGUAAAGGCCCACCAAGGCGACGAUCCGUAGCUGGUCUGAGAGGAUGAUCGGCCACACUGGAACUGAGACACGGCCCAGACUCCUACGGGAGGCAGCAGUGGGGAAUAUUGGACAAUGGGCGCAAGCCUGAUCCAGCCAUGCCGCGUGUGUGAAGAAGGCCUUCGGGUUGUAAAGCACUUUUGUUGGGAAAGAAAAGCAGCCGGUUAAUACCCGGUUGUCAUGACGGUACCCAAAGAAUAAGCACCGGCUAACUUCGUG
Molecule: ribosomal RNA, 490 nt
Filed under: uncultured bacterium
Lineage: Bacteria
Description: partial 16S ribosomal RNA
Rfam family: Bacterial small subunit ribosomal RNA
Source: RNAcentral